This 20-nucleotide small RNA is filed under the name Arabidopsis thaliana (thale cress). Its description in RNAcentral is "ATSL191700". Lineage: Eukaryota; Viridiplantae; Streptophyta; Magnoliopsida; Brassicales; Brassicaceae. The record is from RNAcentral.
GUUUUUUUCUUCUUCUUCUU